CAUAGAGGGUCGCCGGCUCUGGAUCACGCUCCCCUAGUCGU
This 41-nucleotide non-coding RNA is filed under the name Mycobacterium tuberculosis. Lineage: Bacteria; Bacillati; Actinomycetota; Actinomycetes; Mycobacteriales; Mycobacteriaceae. The record is from RNAcentral.